Molecule: ribosomal RNA, 466 nt
Filed under: uncultured bacterium
Lineage: Bacteria
Description: partial 16S ribosomal RNA
Rfam family: Bacterial small subunit ribosomal RNA
Source: RNAcentral
GAUGAACGCUGGCGGCGUGCCUAACACAUGCAAGUCGAGCGAACCCUUCGGGGUGAGCGGCGGACGGGUGAGUAACGCGUGGGUAACCUGCCCUGUACACACGGAUAACAUACCGAAAGGUAUGCUAAUACGAGAUAAUAUAUUUUAAUCGCAUGGUUAAGAUAUCAAAGCUACGGCGGUACAGGAUGGACCCGCGUCUGAUUAGCUAGUUGGUGAGGUAAUGGCCCACCAAGGCGACGAUCAGUAGCCGACCUGAGAGGGUGAUCGGCCACACUGGAACUGAGACACGGUCCAGACUCCUACGGGAGGCAGCAGUGGGGAAUAUUGCACAGUGGGCGAAAGCCUGAUGCAGCAACGCCGCGUGAGCGAUGAAGGCCUUCGGGUCGUAAAGCUCUGUCCUCAAGGAAGAUAAUGACGGUACUUGAGGAGGAAGCCCCGGCUAACUACGUGCCAGCCGCCGCCGUAA